RNAcentral lists this transfer RNA (75 nucleotides) under Lysobacteraceae bacterium. Its description in RNAcentral is "tRNA-Val". It matches the Rfam family "tRNA". Rfam says of the family: Transfer RNA (tRNA) molecules are approximately 80 nucleotides in length. Their secondary structure includes four short double-helical elements and three loops (D, anti-codon, and T loops). Lineage: Bacteria; Pseudomonadati; Pseudomonadota; Gammaproteobacteria; Lysobacterales; Lysobacteraceae. The record is from RNAcentral. RNAcentral also lists the same sequence under 1 other name.
GGGCGCGUAGCUCAGCGGGAGAGCACUGCCUUCACACGGCAGGGGUCCCUGGUUCGAUCCCAGGCGCGCCCACCA